RNAcentral lists this ribosomal RNA (468 nucleotides) under uncultured bacterium. RNAcentral's name for it is "partial 16S ribosomal RNA". It matches the Rfam family "Bacterial small subunit ribosomal RNA", at positions 28 to 507 of the family's 1533-position model. The record is from RNAcentral.
GACGAACGCUGGCGGCGUGCUUAACACAUGCAAGUCGAACGGAAAGGCCCUGCUUUUGUGGGGUGCUCGAGUGGCGAACGGGUGAGUAACACGUGAGUAACCUGCCCUUGACUUUGGGAUAACUUCAGGAAACUGGGGCUAAUACCGGAUAGGAGCUCCUGCUGCAUGGUGUGGGUUGGAAAGUUUCGGCGGUUGGGGAUGGACUCGCGGCUUAUCAGCUUGUUUGUGGGGUAGUGGCUUACCAAGGGUUUGACGGGUAGCCGGCCUGAGAGGGUGACCGGCCAAAUGGGGAAUGAGAUACGGCCCAGAAUCCAACGGGAGGAAGCAGUGGGGAAUAUUGCAAAAUGGGAGGAAGCCUGAUGCAGCAACGCAGCGUGAGGGAUGACGGCCUUCGGGUUGUAAACAGCUUUCGCCUGUGACGAAGCGUGAGUGACGGUAAUGGGUAAAGAAGCACCGGCUAACUACGUG